UAUGCUGACCAAAUUCAAAACUGGGGUUGGAUCUGGAACAUUCAUUCUCAAGCUUCAAGAUCAUUUACCAGGAACUUAAAUCUGAUUCACAAGCAACCAACAUCAGUCACACUUCUUGCGGAUCUGGUGUUUCACGAGAUGGACUGGAGCUGAUGGGAGAAAUAUAUGCGACCUCAAAAUACUGCCAUUUAGACGAUAUACAUGCUUUUGCAGCAAGAGUUGGCUUUACAGGAGAGGCCCUGAGCUCUAUUUCUGACGUUUCUUUGUUGGAAAUUGUUACUAAAGCUCACGGAAGGCCACAUGGAAUUGUAAGGUUUUGAAAGUAGGGUUCUUUUGAGAUUUAGUUGAUAGUAUCUAUUAUGAUAGGUAUAAAACUACUAAUUUGGUCUUGGUUCUUGCCAUUGUUUACAAGACGGCAAGUGUUUGUACCUUGGAGUUGAUGAUUAUAGUCAAGAUGUUGGUACAAUAGUCAUUGUUCGUGAUGUAUUUUAGAACCAACCGGUUCGAAGGAAGCAAAUGAGCAAAUGCACUCCAAGUACUUUCAGUU
Solanum dulcamara is the source of this 547-nucleotide long non-coding RNA. RefSeq lists it as uncharacterized. The record is from RefSeq and is a predicted model, not a curated record. The transcript is spliced from 5 exons. Lineage: Eukaryota; Viridiplantae; Streptophyta; Magnoliopsida; Solanales; Solanaceae.